This is a long non-coding RNA of Ornithorhynchus anatinus (platypus), 678 nucleotides long. RefSeq lists it as uncharacterized. NCBI's taxonomy places the organism in Eukaryota, Metazoa, Chordata, Mammalia, Monotremata, Ornithorhynchidae. The record is from RefSeq and is a predicted model, not a curated record. The transcript has 3 exons.
AGUAAGCAAGUCAAGGCAGUGAGUCAGGACCCGCUGUGACCCCUCUGAAAUAAGGUUGGGGGGAGAGAGAGGGUGAAUGACUGAUAGAGAGAAAAAAACAGAGCAAGGAAAGCAAGCCAGCACAGAGCAAGGGAGCCAAAAGACUGAAGCAAGUGGUGGCCAUGAGCUAAUGAAUCCAGCCCCGGGUAGCAGCAAAGACCACCUGAGCCAAGAUGCCUACGGCACGGCAGCCAAGAACCACCUAAAGACUUGUUCCAGGAUGCCGUGCUGUGAUCAGCUAGACACCUCAAGCUCCUCUGCUGUGGGACCACCUGCGUGAACUUGGGGAAAACAGUCGGAAAGUCAUCGCAGUAAGUCUCAUCUCAGUGUGACAGAAGAAUACGGAAACUGGUUUGGAACAUGUUUACAUUUCAGUGAAAGAACUUUUCAGCAUAAAUAUGCAUAAGAACCCAUGCAUAGACUUCCAGAUAUUGGCUGACGUGGUUUUUCUCCGAGAGGACUUCAGUGGAACAACACAAUCAUGUGAAAUCAAUAUUUAUCAUCAGGCUUUAAUCACCUUGUGGUCAUGGGUUUCUGAGGAUGUCAUCAGUCUGGAAAAAGUAGCAAAGAACAAAGGAGAGCAAAGGUGAGGCAGAUAAGAAUAUGGUGUGUUAAGCAAAUCUGUGAAUAAACUUCAAA